UGCAGAUCUGGCAGAGAGACCAGAGUCACCGCACGGCCUAGUCUGUCGUUUCUGAGACCCUUUUCAUGAGAUAUCCCCCCACAGUGAGGCUGCUCCAGAGGCCUGAGUGGUCACAUGCUCUGCAGGUAGGAACCAGGCCACAGGGACCCCCAGCACAGAAGGGGGGAGGAUUUCAACUUUUGCUGAGGCUAUUUCUAAUGUUAAAAUACACUGGGAGAGGUCAGGUAUGGAACACCCAGUUAAGUUCAGAUGUUACAGUGAUCAAGGACCCAAUUUUAAGCCCCCGGAUCCCACUGUCAAGGGGGGAGGCAGAUUUCAGGAAUGGUGGAGCAGAUCAGCAAGUGUCUCUUCCCCACCUGCCUCUGUUUCUAUCUACUAAGUUAUAAUACUGUGAAUAACAUUAUUUCUUCUGUCGUCACUAGGGCUUCGCAGAAACAGAAGGAAAACAUAGCUCCCCCCAGUGUGGGAGGCACGGGCUCCCAUCCUAAUUUUUGUGAAUGAUGAAAUAGCAGGCAUACUAUCCAGGCUUCCAGCAGAGGGCGAGGAGGGACUUACGAUCCCGUUCUGGACACUGAAGCCCAGCUGGUAGCGCAGGUCAGGCCUCCGGAUGAGCACAGUCGUGACUGGAGGACAGCGCACGAUGUUCAGCUUCACCCGGGACUGGUUCUUCAGGCCCUGGAAGAGGGGAAUACACACACACAGGGAUCACCAGCCGCCUGACUGGAUGAGCCCAGGAGAGAAAACUCACCGCCUGCUGACAUGUGGGGACGGACAGACUCCAGGGGGCUGUGCAUGGGAGCUGGGAAAGGUGCUUUUUUAAUUUUUUUUUUUAUUGUUACCAGGGGCUCAGUACCUGAAAAGGACUCCAUUCCUGGUGGCUACUUUUUCCUUUAUUUGACAGGACAGAAAUUAAGAAAGGAGGUUGCGAGACACCUGCAGUACUUGCCUCACGGCUACAGGUGGAGCAAGGGAGCUUGAAUCCACACCUUUCUGCAUGGUAGGUGACCUGUGUGCUUAACCAGGUGCGCCAUCAGGAAAAAUAUUUUAAUUUUAAGCCUGAUAGCUGAGGGCUGUGUGGGGGGAGGCAGACCUGUUCUCCAAAAGACAAGCUCUAGUGAUUUCUUUAUCAAGCUCUCAGGUCCACAGCAGCUCUGUAACCUUUCCUGGUUUGUCUCUCCUGUCUUUGUUUCCCGGGGAGACAGAGCCAGGACCCCAAUCCAUGAAGGUGGAAAAACAUGAGUGAGGGCCUGUUUGUGGCAUGAGCACCUGGGCAGCAAGGCCCUUGGACCCAGGAUGGGACUUGGCGCCCUCUGGUGUCUGAGCUUCCCUCACUGCAUAGGGUCUCUACUGAGCUCCGGGCCUGCCCUCUCUGCCCUGAAGCAUAUGUAGGGCAUAGACUAGGGUUCAAGCCCCUAGUCCCCACCUGCAGGGUGGGGGCAGGGGAGCUUCACAAGCAAUGACAAAGGAUUGCAGGUGUCUCUUCCUCCACUAAGUCUGUCUCUAGCCAAUAAAAAACAAACCUGAGCCACUUCUGCACUCA
This is a long non-coding RNA of Erinaceus europaeus (western European hedgehog), 1540 nucleotides long. RefSeq lists it as uncharacterized. Lineage: Eukaryota; Metazoa; Chordata; Mammalia; Eulipotyphla; Erinaceidae. The transcript is spliced from 2 exons. The record is from RefSeq and is a predicted model, not a curated record.